Molecule: ribosomal RNA, 440 nt
Filed under: uncultured bacterium
Lineage: Bacteria
Description: partial 16S ribosomal RNA
Rfam family: Bacterial small subunit ribosomal RNA
Source: RNAcentral
CCUACGGGUGGCAGCAGUGGGGGAUAUUGCACAAUGGGGGGAACCCUGAUGCAGCGACGCCGCGUGGGUGAAGACGCGCCUCGGCGCGUAAAGCCCUGUCAGCAGGGAAGAAAAUGACGGUACCUGAAGAAGAAGCCCCGGCUAACUACGAGCAAGCAGCCGCGGUAAUACGCAGGGGGCAAGCGUUAUCCGGAGUUACUGGGCGUAAAGGGGGCGCAGGCGGGGAUGCAAGCCAGGAGUGAAAGCCCGGGGCCCAACCCCGGGACUGCCCGUGGAACUGCGUGGCUGGAGUGCAGUAGGGGCAGGCGGAAUGCCUGGUGUAGCGGUGAAAUGCUUAGAUAUCAGGCGGAACACCGGUGGCGAAGGCAGCCUGCUGGACUGCAUCUGACGUUGAGGCCCGAAAGCGUGGGGAGCAAACAGGAUUAGAUACCCUUGAAGUC